RNAcentral lists this ribosomal RNA (422 nucleotides) under uncultured Flavisolibacter sp. RNAcentral describes it as "bacterial SSU rRNA". It matches the Rfam family "Bacterial small subunit ribosomal RNA", at positions 355 to 774 of the family's 1533-position model. Lineage: Bacteria; Pseudomonadati; Bacteroidota; Chitinophagia; Chitinophagales; Chitinophagaceae. The record is from RNAcentral.
UAAGGAAUAUUGGUCAAUGGACGCAAGUCUGAACCAGCCAUGCCGCGUGAAGGAUGAAGGUCCUCUGGAUUGUAAACUUCUUUUAUAGGGGAAGAAACCGGGAAAUUCUUUUUCCGUUGACGGUACCCUGGGAAUAAGCACCGGCUAACUCCGUGCCAGCAGCCGCGGUAAUACGGAGGGUGCAAGCGUUAUCCGGAUUCACUGGGUUUAAAGGGUGCGUAGGUGGGUUUGUAAGUCAGUGGUGAAAUCUCCAAGCUUAACUUGGAAACUGCCGUUGAUACUAUAAAUCUUGAAUGUUGUGGAGGUGAGCGGAAUAUGUCAUGUAGCGGUGAAAUGCUUAGAUAUGACAUAGAACACCAAUUGCGAAGGCAGCUCACUACACAAAGAUUGACACUGAGGCACGAAAGCGUGGGGAUCAAACA